This 67-nucleotide non-coding RNA is filed under the name Fervidicella metallireducens AeB. The record is from RNAcentral. Lineage: Bacteria; Bacillati; Bacillota; Clostridia; Eubacteriales; Clostridiaceae.
AGCCGAAACAGGGACAAGUUCCCUGUCUGCCAGAGAUGAUCUACUGGCACUGAUGAGGCAGAUUAUA